Molecule: long non-coding RNA, 396 nt
Organism: Tachysurus fulvidraco (yellow catfish)
Lineage: Eukaryota; Metazoa; Chordata; Actinopteri; Siluriformes; Bagridae
Exons: 3
Source: RefSeq, a predicted model, not a curated record
AAAAUCAGAUGCAGAGCUAUCCAAAUCACAGCACGCGCCGAUUUCCAUCUGUGCAUCACUCUGAAAUCCAUCACCUUUCUAAUUCUUUAACUCGAUACAAUACACAAUUAAUUUCAAAGGAGAUGUCGUGAUUGUCCUGAUUGUACAAGCCAUUGUUAGGGGCUCGAUUUCUUAUUGGAGGGAAGUUACUUUUGUCUCCCAGCCGGGACAAAGAGAGGCACUACAGAGGAACAUCUGCCAGCCCCCCGCAUUCUCACACAAACACACGUGACUGACACACUUCAUGAUGUCAAAAACACAACCAAGAUGACCUGUUUGGGACUUCAGGAUGGACCACAGAUUACCUGUGCACAAAGACUGCAAUUAAAUCUCCUGGGAAGAAGUCUCACCUCUGAG